AGUGAACGCUGGCGGUAGGCCUAACACAUGCAAGUCGAACGGCAGCACAGUAAGAGCUUGCUCUUACGGGUGGCGAGUGGCGGACGGGUGAGGAAUACAUCGGAAUCUACUUUUUCGUGGGGGAUAACGUAGGGAAACUUACGCUAAUACCGCAUACGACCUACGGGUGAAAGCAGGGGAUCUUCGGACCUUGCGCGAUUGAAUGAGCCGAUGUCGGAUUAGCUAGUUGGCGGGGUAAAGGCCCACCAAGGCGACGAUCCGUAGCUGGUCUGAGAGGAUGAUCAGCCACACUGGAACUGAGACACGGUCCAGACCCCUACGGGAGGCAGCAGUGGGGAAUAUUGGACAAUGGGCGCAAGCCUGAUCCAGCCAUACCGCGUGGGUGAAGAAGGCCUUCGGGUUGUAAAGCCCUUUUGUUGGGAAAGAAAAGCAGCAGGUUAAUACCCCGCUGUUCUGACGGUACCCAAAGAAUAAGCAGCGGCUAACUUCGUG
RNAcentral lists this ribosomal RNA (492 nucleotides) under uncultured bacterium. Its description in RNAcentral is "partial 16S ribosomal RNA". It matches the Rfam family "Bacterial small subunit ribosomal RNA", at positions 29 to 507 of the family's 1533-position model. The record is from RNAcentral.